GUGGGAACGGCACGGCUGCAAAUCUGACCCGUCGCGCGGUUCGCGCGACUCGAGAUUGCAGUAGUGC
This 67-nucleotide non-coding RNA is filed under the name unclassified sequences. RNAcentral's name for it is "S15-Halobacteria ribosomal protein leader". It matches the Rfam family "S15-Halobacteria ribosomal protein leader". The record is from RNAcentral.